AGCCAAUCCCAGUCCUCUCCCUGGGAUCCGACCUCCAAAGCCGCAGCCUCAGCUCCCAUCCCCCACCCAUCCCGGCCAGCGGGAAUCCUUCCAAGGAGAGGGUAAAAAAUCAGAAAAGUAGAGAUCUUUGUGUGGGGUAUCCAUCAUUUGAAGAUCAGAUGCAGAGAGAGGUCGACACUUGCAGAAGCAGCCAGAGAGCUUUGUCAGGGACAGACCUCGGAAGACAAAGCACAGCAUUUCCCCAGGAUGGGGCACCUCGUGGGAGACCCUCCCUCCAUAAAGCUGGGACUCCAAAGGCCAUUCUUCAGAGUAAGGGUGAUCCAGAAUUAAAUAUGCUCUAGAUCUCUACCCCCAGGGCCCUGUAGGAAAAUUUACCUUUGUGAUGAGUGAGCAAAGCAGGGAGGUAAAAGGCCCUGAGAAGUUUGAACAGUAGGUUGGCCAUCAAGUGAAUUUUUAGCUUAAAUUUGCAUCACUUUGGUGAUCCAACAAGUAGUCCAGGAUUGGCAGAAGAAAAUCCAAAUCUCUGGUUGAAUGUCCCUUUAUCCUAGGUGCUGAAAAAAUUUCUACAAGAAAAUUUUCAAGUUAAAUGACAAGCUCACAGAAAAAAAAAGGGGGUGUGUGUGGGCAACUAAGCACAGAAGAAAAUGAAGAACCGUGUCCUGAUUUUGCUUCUCAUUGUAGCAGAGUCUGCUUUUGGGGAGGAUCAGAUUGA
Molecule: long non-coding RNA, 712 nt
Organism: Eubalaena glacialis (North Atlantic right whale)
Lineage: Eukaryota; Metazoa; Chordata; Mammalia; Artiodactyla; Balaenidae
Exons: 3
Source: RefSeq, a predicted model, not a curated record